Molecule: ribosomal RNA, 442 nt
Filed under: uncultured bacterium
Lineage: Bacteria
Description: bacterial SSU rRNA
Rfam family: Bacterial small subunit ribosomal RNA
Source: RNAcentral
AACGCGAAGAACCUUACCAAGGCUUGACAUGGACUGGAUCGCAUCAGAGAUGGUGUUUCCCUUCGGGGCUGGUUCACAGGUGGUGCAUGGUUGUCGUCAGCUCGUGUCGUGAGAUGUUGGGUUAAGUCCCGCAACGAGCGCAACCCUCGUUCCAUGUUGCCAGCGCGUUAUGGCGGGGACUCAUGGGAGACUGCCGGGGUCAACUCGGAGGAAGGUGGGGACGACGUCAAAUCAUCAUGCCCCUUAUGUCUUGGGCUUCACGCAUGCUACAAUGGCCGGUACAAAGGGUUGCGAUACUGUGAGGUGGAGCUAAUCCCAGAAAGCCGGUCUCAGUUCGGAUUGGGGUCUGCAACUCGACCCCAUGAAGUUGGAGUCGCUAGUAAUCGCAGAUCAGCAACGCUGCGGUGAAUACGUUCCCGGGCCUUGUACACACCGCUACAGU